This 462-nucleotide long non-coding RNA is filed under the name Homo sapiens (human). RNAcentral describes it as "non-protein coding lnc-GDAP2-1:7". Lineage: Eukaryota; Metazoa; Chordata; Mammalia; Primates; Hominidae. The record is from RNAcentral.
GCAGCCGCUUCGGCCCCAUUCGGAAUGCCACAGCACUUGGUCCAGUGUGUUAUAUAACAUGCAGGCAGGGCUUGGACACCAUCCAUUCAUAACAUAGCGAGUGGUUUACAGCCCAGGUUCUGAAUUCAGACUAAUCUGAGUUGAGAUCUCCAUGCACCACUUAAACUUUCUGUAAGGCCUUAGGUGCUGGGGGAAAAGAUUACUUCCCAGAUGCAGUAUUUACAUCUCCUCCGCCCUACUCUUCCAACCCUGCCUGAAAUAAGUGUGGUUCUCCUGUCUGUCAGACUAUGAAGAGUUCUCAAAUAUGUCUUUCCCAGCGAGGGAGAGGAGACAACAGAAACUUCAGCCUCCACGAUCGAUGUUUCUCAAGUGUCAAGGAAAAUGGAGCCUAGGAGGGCAGCCCCACAAGCAGCGUGAUGGGCAUUUAAGCCGACGCAUGUGCCAGGUCCUAGAACAGAGUAA